Molecule: ribosomal RNA, 439 nt
Filed under: uncultured bacterium
Lineage: Bacteria
Description: bacterial SSU rRNA
Rfam family: Bacterial small subunit ribosomal RNA
Source: RNAcentral
UACGGGAGGCAGCAGUGGGGAAUAUUGCACAAUGGGCGCAAGCCUGAUGCAGCCAUGCCGCGUGUAUGAAAAAGGCCUUCGGGUUGUAAAGUACUUUCAGUCGUGAGGAAGGUGUUAAGGUUAAUAACCUUAGCAAUUGACGUUAGCGACAGAAGAAGCACCGGCUAACUCCGUGCCAGCAGCCGCGGUAAUACGGAGGGUGCGAGCGUUAAUCGGAAUUACUGGGCGUAAAGGGCACGCAGGCGGUUAAUUAAGUUGGAUGUGAAAUCCCCGGGCUUAACCUGGGAAUGGCAUUCAAGACUGGUUAGCUAGAGUCUUGUAGAGGGGGUAGAAUUCCAUGUGUAGCGGUGAAAUGCGUAGAGAUGUGGAGGAAUACCGGUGGCGAAGGCGGCCCCUGGACAAGACUGACGCUCAUGUGCGAAAGCGUGGGGAGCGAAAC